UACGAAGGGUGCAAGCGUUACUCGGAAUUACUGGGCAUAAAGCGUGCGUAGGUGGUUCGUUAAGUCUGUCGUGAAAGCCCCGGGCUCAACCUGGGAAUGGCGAUGGAUACUGGCGGGCUAGAGUGCGGUAGAGGAGAGUGGAAUUCCCGGUGUAGCAGUGAAAUGCGUAGAGAUCGGGAGGAACAUCAGUUGCGAAGGCGGCUCUCUGGACCAGCACUGACACUGAGGCACGAAAGCGUGGGGAGCAAACAGG
Molecule: ribosomal RNA, 253 nt
Filed under: uncultured bacterium
Lineage: Bacteria
Description: partial 16S ribosomal RNA
Rfam family: Bacterial small subunit ribosomal RNA
Source: RNAcentral